AAGCUCUGUGGGCAUAGUAGUGCACACCUAUAAUCUCAGCACUAGGGAGGCUGAGGCAGGAGGAU
RNAcentral lists this microRNA precursor (65 nucleotides) under Dipodomys ordii (Ord's kangaroo rat). RNAcentral describes it as "miRNA (ENSDORG00000020601.2)". The record is from RNAcentral. Lineage: Eukaryota; Metazoa; Chordata; Mammalia; Rodentia; Heteromyidae.